This 79-nucleotide non-coding RNA is filed under the name Oscillibacter sp. CAG:155. RNAcentral's name for it is "ZMP/ZTP riboswitch aptamer (pfl RNA motif)". It matches the Rfam family "ZMP/ZTP riboswitch aptamer (pfl RNA motif)". Rfam says of the family: Previously known as pfl RNA. ZMP is also known as AICAR. Lineage: Bacteria; Bacillati; Bacillota; Clostridia; Eubacteriales; Oscillospiraceae. RNAcentral also lists the same sequence under 1 other name. The record is from Rfam by way of RNAcentral.
AACAGAUCAUAUGACUGACGGAAGUGGGAGAACCACGUGGAGUAUGAUUUUGUAAUUGCCGACCGUCUGGGCACAUUCA